GUAGGUGAACCUGCGGAAGGAUCAUUAACAAAUCAUUUGGUGGGGGUUAGGGGAGGUUAGGGAGGGUUUAGGGUAGGGUUUAAAUAUUCUACCUAUUCUCUACUAUGCCUCCCUCCCCAUUCAUAUUAACCCGGCCGCAAGGCUAGGUCAGUUUCCUGCGGCGUCUCUGGGGAUUUGGCAGGAGCGAUAGUUCUAGUCAAAGACCUGGGAUAGUGCAGGAGAUAUAUACACGCUUGAUUGUUUGACUGUA
Molecule: unclassified non-coding RNA, 250 nt
Filed under: plant metagenome
Description: partial contains small subunit ribosomal RNA, internal transcribed spacer 1, and 5.8S ribosomal RNA
Source: RNAcentral